GACUCCUACACAUUAUCUCAUCAUGUGGAUCCUCUUUGAUAUAGCUUCUUUUAUCUGGGUGAUCGUUGUCUUCGUCAUUCAAAUCACAAAGAAUAGGCGACAGAAACGGCGUUUGAGACGGCAUGUUUCUGAUGGGUCCUCGUAUAACUACCAAUUUGUUGCUAUGUCUGAUAAACCAGCGGACAUGUAUGCCUCGUAAAAGGUUCAUCGGUCCACCUGUAUGGCUUAACAGGGUUCGGCCGACGUUUUUUUUUUAUACAUUGGGAAGUCGAUACCAGAAGAACCGAAGGGUUUGUCGAUUCAACCGACCAUCACCAAUUUCAUCCUUCAGUCAUUCGCCACACGGUCCCUAAAUAAUUAUAAACGGAAAUGUUACGAAUACAAUACGAAUCGUUGCUAGGCCCUUGAACAAUCUCGUUGCAUGCCUCACUGUCCCAGUCAGCACACCGAAUAUUAUCCAGUCCCCGAUCCUGGAGCAGCAUGGAUUGUAAAGAGGAUGGAAAUAUUGUUGUUCAUCUUUCGGUAAUAGAGUAUUACAGAGAGGCGGAUCUCACCAUAUUACAUUAUUCACUACGUCUGGUUAGCAAACUGGAUACGGUUUGGGAUCCCGUUACCAAGACCGGGUUUCGUGUGACAAAGCCUAUAUACCACCGCUUACGGAUCUGCUGCGAAGCCGGGUAAAUCUAUAAGCGGUGUCGCGGUGAUAAUACGACGUUUAGAGAUGACCCUACGACUAAGCCGAUGUUUCUCCGAUUAUAAAGGAAUCAUAUUUUCUGAGGAAUGUUUCUUUUUUUAUUAUUUUUUUUUGGGGGGGUGGCAUUGCGACGCCUGGGUGAUAGCUUUACGAUUAUCUUCUAGCUCGUCGAUAAAUAAUACAGUUUAUAAGGUAUGAAAAUUAUGCAAACAUUAUUGUUGUUUUUAUAUAUUAAUAUCCAUCUACCACCAUCAUCCUGAGGUGAUUUGUGAACAAAUUACAAAAUAAAUGUAAUAACUCAACACACCCUUCGGCAUUAAUUAUAGUGUGUCUUUAUACAUUAUUUUUAUUCUGACCAGCAUCACUUUCCAUAUCCAGACUGUGAUCCAUUUUCUUGAUUUAAGUUAAUGUUUCUUUGAUCAACGUUACUUAAAUAAAUGUUUUUUUACGCCCUUAUCCCCUUUAUAAGAUGUGCUAUAUGCGGCGGGGGGGGGGGGGGUCAGAUAAUCCAUAUAAACGAUAAUUGUUUAUACGAUGAUAGUUUGAUAUGCUGUUUUUUAUCAAUAUUUCAUCAAGGGACAUUUUUGGGGACGCGCUGUAUUAUGUCAGGUUGUUCAAUGUUUUUUAAAGAUGUAUGCAAUGUUACUUUAUACGAUGUUUCUUUAUACGAUCUUUUUUAGAGAUGUUUCUGACAUUGCUCCGUAUUGCUAAUCCGAUUUUCUUUUCUUUUCUUUCCUUUCAUUAUUUUUGUAAUUUCAGUACUCUCAAUUCUGAGAGCAUCUCCUAGUAUAAUAUACACAAUUAUUAUUUAAAAGCAGCUCUCCUUCUCCCCAUAAUCUGAUGAAUCUAAAAGAUUAUCUACGAAAUGUAAAAUUCUUAAAUUGUUUUAUAUCUAUUUCCAUCGAUUGAAUUCUUUCUAGAGAAUGUUUUUAUUUUCAUGCAGGUUAUUUGAUGAAGGCCUUGGAUUUGGAAUAUCUAAACAAUAUUUCCAGUUCACUGAUCAUGUGCCGACCUUUUUAAAGAUUUUGUAUGUAAUAUUCGUAUCACCUUUUUAACUAGUCUUGGCAGUACGAUUUUCAUUCAAUCAUCAACAAAAGUAACAAAGUACAUCCGUAACUAUAUAACUAAAUGAAAACAGACAUGCAUUUUAAUAAACAGGACAUGUUUAAGUACAUUUAAUGUAUUUUCUUACUAAAAUGAUUAUGAAAGUAUUUCACCGUUAUAAAAAUCACGGGAGGCUAUCUAUAUAUUUUAAUGUUUCAUUGGUUCAUAUACAUUACUUUUGGAGGAGAGGAUUUUAACAAAAUAUUAAUGUUAUAUAUUUGUUUUAAUACUGUGACGCAAUGAUACGUCCUCGAUGUUAUUUUAUAUAUAUUAUGUACAUAUAUAUUUUGAAUCUAUUGUUUGUGCCGGGGAGUAUCUUACGUAAUAGGAACAAUUUACUUCAAGAUCCCUCCUUACAAUACAAAUGUCUUUUAUUGUCAAUAUUUUCAUCGUAAUGUCAGUGGCAAUUGUUAUGAUUAUUUCAUGAAUGAUGUAAUUUGAAGUGAUGUAUACAUGGUAUACGUGAUUCUUAUCCAUGCAAAGUCCUUCCUAACCUGACUGAUAUUUGCUAUUUGGAUAUAUGUAAGAUUCAUGCAUUUCUUGUGAAUAUUUCUGUACGAUAGUAUGCUAUUGUGUAAAUAUACUACAAUUCAUGUGCGAUGAUUGGGGAAGGGGAAAGUGCCCCCUCCCGCGAAUUUUCGAAUUUGUAGAGCAGCCUAUUAAAGAGCGGGUCGUCUCGUCUCUCUAAAGUGACAAGAAAUCUCAAUCUGCGCCUGCUCCUGUUUCAUUCCUUCUGUGGUUAUUGUGAUUUAUAAAAUAGGUGUAUUAUUUCAAGCAUCGCGAUUGGCCAAUACGCGUCGCAUGACAUCCAACUUUUUUGGUGCACUGCACGGCAGUGCAAAAGGUGCGCAACGAUAAUUUAUAUUGCACGCUCAAGCAAACCAGUGCGGUAGAAGUCCCGGGAGAAGUCCAACAAAACUGUACUGUAACUUUUCAAGAAUUUGUUUUUGUGUUGCUAUUUUAUAAAACAAAUAAUGCACUUGCUCUGUCGUGCGUAAAAGUAAAUGCAGAGAAAGCUCGGUUUCUUCAGAUGGUGCACACUGGGCACUCGCCGCCAGCGGCUCGUGCACAGUGCGGCACCUAUCUGAAGAAACCUCGCGUGCUCUGCAUUUCCACUAACGCACUCGGCUGCAUGCAUUAUUUGUAUAAUAUUGUUUUUAAUAUUCGUGUAAUCUUGUCUUUGUUAAGAUAGCGGUGUUGAUGGAGAUUGAUGCGAAAUGUCUGUUUCAGAUACAGUUUUAAGGACACCAAAGUAAUCCUUCAGACGGUGCUAAAUCACACACUUAUAUGUAUAUAUCACAUUUUUGGAAGAAAAUGUAUGCUUUAAUUGUUUUGUAAAAUGAUUUAAAAAAAAUCAUAAACAUGACAAUGGACAUUUGUUUAAAGGUUUGUGAAGGAUUGUAACGAUCCGCAUCACAUAAUAUUUUCGUGGCUGCAUGCAAAUAAUAGGACUUUUUUCCUAGCAGAUGUCAUUUGAUAAAAUAAUUUAAUUAUGUAUACAUAUUAUAUUAUUGCCAGUAGAUUAAGAUGUGGAUCGGUGUGGAUAAAGGGAUAUUCUUGCUUAUGUAGUGGAUGAGUUUGGUAGGAAUUUAAACAAAAUGUCUUCCUUUCAAGUCUUUCAUUUACUUUUUUUGUAAAUAAAAUUAUCUACGUAUUGAAAACUGUA
This is a long non-coding RNA of Lytechinus pictus (painted urchin), 3464 nucleotides long. RefSeq lists it as uncharacterized. The transcript is spliced from 3 exons. The record is from RefSeq and is a predicted model, not a curated record. Lineage: Eukaryota; Metazoa; Echinodermata; Echinoidea; Temnopleuroida; Toxopneustidae.